RNAcentral lists this ribosomal RNA (250 nucleotides) under uncultured prokaryote. RNAcentral describes it as "partial 16S ribosomal RNA". It matches the Rfam family "Bacterial small subunit ribosomal RNA", at positions 524 to 772 of the family's 1533-position model. The record is from RNAcentral.
GACGUAGGGGGCAAGCGUUGUCCGGAAUUAUUGGGCGUAAAGAGCUCGUAGGCGGUUGCGUAAGUCGGAUGUGAAAACUUAGGGCUCAACCCAAAGACGCCAUCCGAUACUGCGCUGACUUGAAUCCGGUAGGGGAGUGUGGAAUUCCUGGUGUAGCGGUGAAAUGCGCAGAUAUCAGGAGGAACACCUAUGGCGAAGGCAGCACUCUGGGCCGGUAUUGACGCUGAGGAGCGAAAGCAUGGGUAGCAAA